UUAGAGUUUGAUCCUGGCUCAGGACGAACGCUGGCGGCAUGCCUAACACAUGCAAGUCGAACGGAGUUAUUAUUCAGAAGUUCUUCGGGAUGGAAGGAUAAGAACUUAGUGGCGGACGGGUGAGUAACGCGUGGGUAACCUGCCCUUUUGUGGGGAACAACUUCGAGAAAUCGGAGCUAAUACCGCAUAAUAAUAGAGGAUCGCAUGAUUCUUUAAGGAAAGAUGGCCUCUGAAGAUGCUAUCGCAAAAGGAUGGACCCGCGUCUGAUUAGCUAGUUGGAAGGGUAACGGCCUACCAAGGCAACGAUCAGUAGCCGGCCUGAGAGGGUGAACGGCCACAUUGGGACUGAGACACGGCCCAAACUCCUACGGGAGGCAGCAGUGGGGAAUCUUCCGCAAUGGGCGAAAGCCUGACGGAGCAAUGCCGCGUGAGUGAGGAAGGCCUUCGGGUUGUAAAACUCUGUCCUUAUCGAAGAGAGGUAGGUAUGUGAAUAAUGUACCUAUAGGACGGUAGAUAAGGAGGAAGCCCCGGCUAACUACGUGCCAGCAGCCGCGGUAAUACGUAGGGGGCGAGCGUUGUCCGGAAUCACUGGGCGUAAAGGGCGCGUAGGCGGUUUAAUAAGUCAGUGGUGAAAACUGAGGGCUCAACCCUCAGCCUGCCACUGAUACUGUUAGACUUGAGUAUGGAAGAGGAGAAUGGAAUUCCUAGUGUAGCGGUGAAAUGCGUAGAUAUUAGGAGGAACACCAGUGGCGAAGGCGAUUCUCUGGGCCAAGACUGACGCUGAGGCGCGAAAGCGUGGGGAGCAAACAGGAUUAGAUACCCUGGUAGUCCACGCCGUAAACGAUGGAUACUAGGUGUUUGUAGUUUCGAUGCUACUAGUGCCGGAGUAAACACAAUAAGUUUCCCGCCUGGGGAGUACGGUCGCAAGACUGAAACUCAAAGGAAUUGACGGGGGCCCGCACAAGCGGUGGAGCAUGUGGUUUAAUUUGACGCAACGCGAAGAACCUUACCAAGACUUGACAUCCUCCUGACAAGAUAUGUAAUGUAUCUCUUUUCUUCGGAGACAGGAGAGACAGGUGGUGCAUGGUUGUCGUCAGCUCGUGUCGUGAGAUGUUGGGUUAAGUCCCGCAACGAGCGCAACCCUUAUUUCUAGUUGCCAGCAGUAAGAUGGGGACUCUAGAGAGACUGCCAGUGACAAACUGGAGGAAGGUGGGGAUGACGUCAAAUCAUCAUGCCCCUUAUGUCUUGGGCUACACACGUGCUACAAUGGUCAGAACAGAGGGAAGCGAAGCCGCGAGGUGGAGCAAAUCCCAGAAAACUGAUCUCAGUUCGGAUUGCAGGCUGCAACCCGCCUGCAUGAAGUCGGAAUCGCUAGUAAUCGCGGGUCAGCAUACCGCGGUGAAUACGUUCCCGGGCCUUGCACUCACCGCCCGUCA
RNAcentral lists this ribosomal RNA (1436 nucleotides) under uncultured bacterium. Its description in RNAcentral is "16S ribosomal RNA". It matches the Rfam family "Bacterial small subunit ribosomal RNA". The record is from RNAcentral.